UGAAAGAACUAAAUUAAUCAUUAAAAAGCAAAGAUAAAUCCUUUUACUUUCUGCAUAAUGUACUAACUAGAAAUAACUUUACAUAGAGAACCACAGCAAUGUCCCCCGAAACCAGAUGAGCUACUCAAGGAGAGCUAGAAGAGCACACCCAUCUAUGUAGCUAUACAGCGAGAAAAUCUAUGAGUAGUGGCAACAAACCUAUAGAGGCUGGUGAUUGCUGGUUGUCCAUUACAGAAUCUUAGUUCAACUUUAAACUUUUCCACAGAACUACUUAAUCCCUCUGUAAGUUUAACUGUUUGUCUAAGGAGGGACAGCUCUUUAGACCCUAAGAAACAACCUUUCCGCAGAGAGUAAAAAAUGAUAUUAUCAUCAUUGGCCUAAAAGUAGCCACCAAUUAAGAAAGCGUUCAAGCUCAAUAGCUAACUGUUUUUAACGUUAUCCACUUUACUGACUCCCAACAUUACAUUGGACUAAUCCAUUACUCGGUAGAAGCAACAAUGUUAAUAUAAGUAACAUGAAAAUAUUCUCCAUUGCAUAAGCUGAAACAGACUGGAAUAACUACUGACAGUUUAACAGCCAUGUACUAAAUAUCCUACUGUUUACACUGUUAACACAGGCAUGCUCUAAGGAAAGACUACCAGAAGUAAAAGGAAUUCGGCAAACCUCACCAUGCCUGCUUAUCAAAAACAUCAACUUCAGCACUACCAGUGUUAGAGUCACUUCCUGCCCAGUGACAUAUGUUCAACGGCUGCGGUACCCUGACCAUACAAAGGUAGCAUAUAUAAUCAUUUGUUCCCUAAAUAGGGACUGAAUAUGAAUGGUCACAAGAUGGCUUAGCUGUCUGUUACUUUUAUGAAUGGCCACAAGAGGGUUUAGCUGCCUGUUACUUUUAAUCAGUGAAAUUGAUCUAUCUGUGAAGAGGCAGACAUAAAUAAGAUGGAAAGACCCUAUGGAGCUUCAAUUCAUUCAUGCAAAUGAUAAUCAAAAAGGCCUAUAGGCACUAACACACUACCCCUGCAUUAAAAUUUUUGGUUGGGGUGACCUUGGAGUAUAAUUCAACCUCUGAACAACCUAGACUAAGACCACACUAGUCUAAGUGAACUAGCACAAAUUGACCAAUAAUUUGAUCAACAGACCAAGUUACCCUAGGAUUAACAGUGCAAUCCUAUUCUAGAGUUCAUACCGACAAUAGGGUUUAUGACUUGAAUGUUCCAUCAGGACAUCCUAAUGGUGCAGCUGCUAUAAAGGGUUUAUUUGUUGAAUGAUUAAAGUCCUAUGUGAUCUGAGUUCAGACUAGAGAAAUCCAGGUCAGUUUCUAUCCAAUACUUCUCCCAAU
This 1336-nucleotide ribosomal RNA is filed under the name Callithrix jacchus (white-tufted-ear marmoset). Its description in RNAcentral is "Bacterial large subunit ribosomal RNA". It matches the Rfam family "Bacterial large subunit ribosomal RNA", at positions 539 to 2659 of the family's 2925-position model. The record is from Rfam by way of RNAcentral. Lineage: Eukaryota; Metazoa; Chordata; Mammalia; Primates; Cebidae.